Non-coding RNA from Microcebus murinus (gray mouse lemur), 2773 nucleotides. NCBI's taxonomy places the organism in Eukaryota, Metazoa, Chordata, Mammalia, Primates, Cheirogaleidae. The record is from RefSeq and is a predicted model, not a curated record.
UCCAAGGGCAGAGCCCACUGCUUUCCAGUCAUCUCCCAUGUCCUGGUCUCACUGACUUCCAGGGGUGAAGUGCCCAUUUCCAAAUUCCAGUGUAUGGCCCAAGGAAGCUGAAACUUAGUCCAUUCCCUCCUCAUCCCAGUGCAGUCCUGGCGCAGUGUACCUGAGAGUUUAGUAUGGCUCCUGCUAUUGUCUCCUCUCCAGAGCCUAUUGUCUUGUGCAAUGGUUUUGCACCAACUCCAGGCGUGUCCCUGUCUGAGCAGGAAGGUAUCUGGUUCAUUUGAGGACUCGGAAUUUCCAGUCAGCCCAGUAUUUGAGAGCAGACCUGGAGAAGAAGAUUGGCCUGUUACUACGUAGGCACUCUGAGGAGAGAUGCAACUGCUGCAUAAAAGGUCUUCUGGCAAUAAGGAAAAAAUUUAGGAACCUGGGGAUCUUGGAAGCUGUUACUGGAGCAAUGGUAAUGAGGAUUCAUCUUAAUGGCACUAGAGGAUUGAUUCUGCUUUAUCUCCUCUCUUUGUUUCCCUUUUCCUUUUUUUUUUUUUUCUGUUUAUGCUAUUAUUUAUAUGGAGAGUUCAUUUAUAUCAUUCCAUGUUCAAGGUAAGCUCUGGUAUGUGAGAUCUUUAUCAGUGCUAACUCAGGAAAAUCUGUUUAUGAGCAGAGUAAGAGCAAAACAAAGAGGGUAUCUGAUUCCCUAUUUGAGAUUCCUGAUGUCCCUGGUGACAGAAAUCUACAUGCAUUGGUGGGUAGCCUUCGUGUUUCCCAUCCCAGACGUGCUUUUAAUAUCACCAUUUCCAUUCAGAGUAUUCAGUCUUGUUCCUUAUUGAAUCUAAUAUUUUUAUGUUAGCAGUAGGAGGUGUGAAGCUGAAAUGACGUGUUCUGGGUGAAUAACUAGCUUUGAGAUCAUCAAGCCAUUGAGGGUGAGAUAUGAAUUUAUCUUUUAAAUUCAAGAUUUAAUAAGUAAACAUGUGAAUAAUAACCAGGGACUUUAAGAGAGAGAUAACAGCCUGGCAGAGGGCUAAAAUUGAUACAAUUCUCCCUCUGUACUAUUCUAAGUCCCACUAGGAAAUAUGUGUGGCUGCAGUUAAAAAAAACAAUCCCCAGGCCUGGUCAGUGACAUCUUUUCCUUAUUUAGUCAGAGAUUCUGUUAAUAUAUUUAAUGACAGGCUACAUAUUCAAGGUAAACCAAGUAAUAAUGGGGACCCUAAAAUUUGCCAAGGAGAGCUGUAUAUAAAGUUGGUGUGCGAAAAGAAGAUGAGUUUAAAUUAGCAGAAUAUGAUCCUUAGUGGCUUCAGAGACCAGAAAUUCACCUCUACUCCUCAAUGGACUCUGCUCCCAUUGCCCUUAUAGGUUUACUCUAAAAGCUUCCAAAAGUCUAACACUUAGUUUCUGUUCCCAUGAUAUCUUGAGGCUGAAAACUGCAAGAAUAGGAAAAACAUCAAGGUGAACAUCCUCAAACUCCUGAAAUCUCUGAGAAAGGAAAAUCUUGUAAACUCAAUUAAGACUAGGGCUUUUAGGAUUGCAAAUGAAAUUGUGUGGAAGUUCCAAAUUACCCCAGUCAGAAAUAAUUAAAACAGAGAAAGUAAUUCUUCAUGAAUGGGCCUGAAAGCUAUAAAGGAGGUAUGGCCUCCUAUCUCUAUUAUUUUUAUUUUUGCCAUCUUGCCUAAUCCUUUGCAUCCUUAUUUAGAAAAUUGGGCUGAUAUUAUAUUCCUAAUAUGACUAUAGAUCAGUUAAAAGGGAACACAAUAAGGACUUACUAAAUGGUAGCUAUUCAUAUUAACUUAUUUCUUACAACUAUAAAGGAGACUAUGAGAAACUCAAGAGAAAACAGAGAUAAAAAUAAACUUUCUUUUUCUAUUAGUUUACCUGUAAGUGUUUCUUCUUUUACUCAGGAACCACUCUCUUUUUUUGUAUGUAUUAAAGUUCUGGUGUUAAUUGGAAGAUUUCAUUAUACUGAUUAUACAUUUAAGGUAAAUCUGGGUGUGGCUACAAGGGAAACAGAUCAGUGUAAACAGGUAAUGGUCUAAAGUGAGGAUAAUUUGUUCUAAAGUUGGGGAAUGCCAUUUCCCUUCUUAAAAUCCCCGAUGUCUUACUAUUGCUACGAGAGUAUCAGUGCAUUUAGAAUAAAAUGUUUUUAAAAGAAAAACCUUUAUAAUUCUUAAACAUGGUCUACAAAGCACAGGGGAAUCAGGCUUCUGCCAUUCUCUCCAAUGUCAUGUUGUUCCACCCUUGUUUUUUAAAUUCUAAAAUAAUGAGCUUUCUUUGAGUGUCUCCAGUGCUUGAAGAUCUGUUAUACAUUAUUCCCAUUAAGGAGAAUGCUCUUUUCCUGAGCUUUGCAUCUGCCUCAUCUUCAGCUUAACUAUGAUUUCUCAAGGAUGCAAUUCUUUUACCCUUCCCUACUGAUUAAAAUUGCUUCCUCUUGUUACUUUCUCAUUGCAUUUUGUUCUUUUCCUCAAAUUUAAGAUUCUGAGUGUGUGUAGAUACGUGUGCAUGUGUGUGUUGUUUUAGUUGUUUUCUCUACCUCAGCAGACUGUGAACUUCGUAGGGUAGCAUCUAUGUCUUUUCAUUCUCCACUGUCUGGCUAGUAAAAGGCCUGGCACAUAUCAGAUUUGCAAUAAAUAUUUCUGAAGUGAAUGAAUGAUCAAGUGUGAUUGGAAUGGCAUUCCCUAAAAUGAAAUUAGAUCUGUGCAUAGUGUACUCUUCUCUGUGAGAGCAGUGUUACUGAUUGGAAAGGUAUGUCAGAGAAGCAGAAUGGAAUAAAAAAAUAGGUUAAUAAGUU